Molecule: transfer RNA, 76 nt
Filed under: Chloroflexota bacterium
Lineage: Bacteria; Bacillati; Chloroflexota
Description: Chloroflexi bacterium (freshwater metagenome) tRNA-Pro
Rfam family: tRNA
About the family: Transfer RNA (tRNA) molecules are approximately 80 nucleotides in length.
Source: RNAcentral
CGGGGUGUGGCUCAGUUGGUAGAGCACCGCGUUUGGGACGCGGGGGUCCGCGGUUCAAGUCCGCGCACCCCGACCA